GAUGAACGCUGGCGGCGUGCUUAACACAUGCAAGUCGAACGGAAAGGCCCAAGCUUGCUUGGGUACUCGAGUGGCGAACGGGUGAGUAACACGUGGGUGAUCUGCCCUGCACUUCGGGAUAAGCCUGGGAAACUGGGUCUAAUACCGGAUAGGACCACUUCUUGGAUGUUGUGGUGGAAAGUUUUUUCGGUGUGGGAUGAGCUCGCGGCCUAUCAGCUUGUUGGUGGGGUAAUGGCCUACCAAGGCGUCGACGGGUAGCCGGCCUGAGAGGGUGUACGGCCACAUUGGGACUGAGCUACGGCCCAGACUCCUACGGGAGGCAGCAGUGGGGAAUAUUGCACAAUGGGCGCAAGCCUGAUGCAGCGACGCCGCGUGGGGGAUGACGGCCUUCGGGUUGUAAACUCCUUUCGCUAGGGACGAAGCGUUUUGUGACGGUACCUGGAGAAGAAGCACCGGCUAACUACGUG
RNAcentral lists this ribosomal RNA (467 nucleotides) under uncultured bacterium. RNAcentral's name for it is "partial 16S ribosomal RNA". It matches the Rfam family "Bacterial small subunit ribosomal RNA", at positions 28 to 507 of the family's 1533-position model. The record is from RNAcentral.